This 468-nucleotide ribosomal RNA is filed under the name uncultured bacterium. RNAcentral's name for it is "partial 16S ribosomal RNA". It matches the Rfam family "Bacterial small subunit ribosomal RNA", at positions 28 to 507 of the family's 1533-position model. The record is from RNAcentral.
GACGAACGCUGGCGGCGUGCUUAACACAUGCAAGUCGAACGGAAAGGCCCUGCUUUUGUGGGGUGCUCGAGUGGCGAACGGGUGAGUAACACGUGAGUAACCUGCCCUUGACUUUGGGAUAUCUUCAGGAAACUGGGGCUAAUACCGGAUAGGAGCUCCUGCUGCAUGGUGGUGGUUGGAAAGUUUCGGCGGUUGGGGAUGGACUCGCGGCUUAUCAGCUUGUUGGUGGGGUAGUGGCUUACCAAGGCUUUGACGGGUAGCCGGCCUGAGAGGGUGACCGGCCACAUUGGGACUGAGAUACGGCCCAGACGCCUACGGGAGGCAGCAGGGGGGAAUAUGGCACAAUGGGCGGAAGCCUGAUGCAGAAACGCCGCGUGCGGGAUGACGGCCUUCGGGUUGUAAACCGCUUUGGACUGUGACGAAGAGUGAGUGACGGUAAUGGGUAAAGAAGCACCGGCUAACUACGUG